Molecule: long non-coding RNA, 213 nt
Filed under: Monodelphis domestica (gray short-tailed opossum)
Lineage: Eukaryota; Metazoa; Chordata; Mammalia; Didelphimorphia; Didelphidae
Description: lncRNA (ENSMODG00000045567.1)
Source: RNAcentral
ACGAGUCUAGAAGCGAUUCGGUCCCGCCGGGACAUGGCACCAUCCCCGGUGGAGGUGUUUGAACUUCCGGAGGAUGAGGAAAAUUCAUGGAUUGUGCGAGUGAAAGUUGUAGCUGGAAUAUCCCCGGCAAAGAAGGAUCUCUUAGGAGCUAGAUUCAUCCUCAACAGCAUUGGCUUCUUUUUGAAGUGUUUGAUGAAAAUCAUUUGGUAAGUU